This is a non-coding RNA of Vicia faba (fava bean), 315 nucleotides long. The record is from the annotation of a GenBank genome assembly. NCBI's taxonomy places the organism in Eukaryota, Viridiplantae, Streptophyta, Magnoliopsida, Fabales, Fabaceae.
AUGGACAUGAAUAUCGGACUCCGGCACAGAUACCAAACAUACUUUUGUUUUGUUCAAAGGUUCCAGCGUAGCCUCACCUCGAAUACGCAGGUUUUGAACCAUAGUAGGUGGAUUCCUCCAGCUGAGGAUUGGAUUGGCUUAAACGUCGACGGUGCUGUGGGCAAGCACUCUAGAGCUGUUUGUGGGGGCCUUUUGCAGGAUCAUUAUGGGGUCUGGUGUGGAGGCUUCUCCAAAAUCAUUGGCAUUUGCAGUAUAGAGGUUGCAGAGCUUUGGGAAGUGUUUGAGAGUCUCAAAUUGUCGAUAUUCUUCUCUUAA